This 72-nucleotide transfer RNA is filed under the name Heterocephalus glaber (naked mole-rat). It matches the Rfam family "tRNA". Rfam says of the family: Transfer RNA (tRNA) molecules are approximately 80 nucleotides in length. Their secondary structure includes four short double-helical elements and three loops (D, anti-codon, and T loops). Lineage: Eukaryota; Metazoa; Chordata; Mammalia; Rodentia; Bathyergidae. The record is from Rfam by way of RNAcentral.
CGCAGUGUAGCUCAGUAGUAGAGAGCUUGCCUCACAAGCAUGAGGCCCUGGGUUUGAGCCCUAGCAUGGCAG